RNAcentral lists this ribosomal RNA (485 nucleotides) under uncultured bacterium. RNAcentral's name for it is "partial 16S ribosomal RNA". It matches the Rfam family "Bacterial small subunit ribosomal RNA", at positions 28 to 507 of the family's 1533-position model. The record is from RNAcentral.
GAUGAACGCUGGCGGCGUGCUUAACACAUGCAAGUCGAACGGGAUCCAAGGGGUGCUUGCACUUUUUGGUGAGAGUGGCGAACGGGUGAGUAACACGUGAGUAACCUGUCCUUUUCUUUGGGAUAAGCAUUCGAAAGGGUGUUUAAUACCUUAUGUUCUGUCUGCCUCGCAUGGGGUGGGUGGGAAAGGCUUUGGCCGGAUUUGGGUGGGCUCGCGGUCUAUCAGCGUGUUGGUGGGGUGAUGGCUUACCAAGGCUUUGACGGGUAGCCGGCCUGCGAGGGUAGUCGGUCACAGUGGGGCUGAGAUACGGCCCAGACUCCUGCGGGAGGCAGCAGUGGGGGAUAUUGCACAAUGGGCGAAAGCCUGAUGCAGCGACGCCGCGUGGGGGAUGAAGGCCUUCGGGUUGUAAACUUCUUUUGCUCUGAACAAGGCAUGCCAGUGGGUGUGUUGAGUGUAGGGGUUGAUUAGCGCCGGCUAACUACGUG